GUCAGGCAGCCGGCGGGCGGUGGAGGUGGGGGCCGCCGCAAACUGCUGCCGGAGCCCCCGGGCAGGGCAGCAGGAGGCACCCCGUGCUGCGGGCAGGCUGCCCAGCCAUGGGGCUCUAUAGGAGCCCUGCUCCACAAGUCUCCUCUGGAGCGGUUCCUAGUCCAUAAGAGCAUUGCUGCUGCCCGACAGCAGGGCCUCGCGGGGAACGUGUGUGUCUGGUGGUGGGGCUGGGGAACAGAGCUCCUUAGAAUGCUUCUGAGUAUCGCACAGAAAGGCCUGCGUUACGGUUGGAAAUGCGAUAUUCUUCCGGUUUGCUUCCACUCUUGUUUUGUGUCACUGAGGUACCUGGGUCUGUUCAGCCUGGGGAAAAGAAGCCUGAGGAGGGAACUGAUGAAUGUAUAUAAAUAUCUAAAGGGAGAUGGGAGGCAAAUGGAUGAGGGCAGGCUCUUCUCAGGGGUGCAUAGCGAGAGGACAAGGAGCAGCGGUCUCAAACUUGAACGUAGGUGUAGCAGAAAUGCUAUGUCAGAGCUUGGAACAGUGAUUGAGCACCGGGCGGGAAGGCAGGGCCAACCCAGGAGAGCUCAGGUGCAUGCAACGUACCUGAGUGACUGGAAGGGCUGGAGCCAAGAUGCAACCCUUCCCAGACCUCAUGUAAGGGUUGGCAGUGGAGGCAAGGAUACCUCAUCUGGAGAUCCCUGCACACCUGAGGCCUUCUGAAGGAUACCUGCCUUUGUCCACCCCACAGGACCUCUGGGUCCUGCUCUUCCCAAGGCUCUCCCUGCUGACACCAACAUCACACUCAUUAUGUGCGGAAGCGGACUGAUGCUCUUCAAAUGUUGGUUUAUUAUCCUUUGACCACUUCCAUACCUCAUGAAUCAAAUCUGCAAGCACUAGAGCUCCACACCACACAGAAUCAUAGAAUCAUAGAACAGUUUGGGUUAGAAGGGACCUUCAGGAUCACCUAGCUCCAACCCCCUGCUAUAGGCGUGGACACCUUCCUCUAGAACAGGUUGCUCAGUCCCAUCCAGCCUGGCCUUGAAUGCUUCCAGGGAGAGGGCAUCCACAACCUCACUGGGCAACCUGUUCCAGUGUCUCAACACCCUCACAGUAAAAAUUUCUUCCUGGUAUCUAGUCUAAAAGAUUAAAGAUGGUUUCAUUUUUGAUUCAUUUUCUAAAUCACAAAUCUUACAAAUUCUGGAGAAAUUCUGUAAACAAAUGGAUUCAUCUCUGAAGUCAUCAGGACAAUGCUAUGCUUAUAUAAUCUGCUACUUGUGGCAAUGGGGUAUAUGGCAUUUUUUAUGGCAAGCAGAGGACAUAUUAUUCAAAUAAAUGUGGGGAAAAUAAAAUGAGCUCAAUAAAAUUGGGAUGCCCCUAGCAAUCAGAGUUUCACUUUAAAAUAGCAAUAAUAAUUGAUGCUCCAUUCUGAUCCCCUGCAAGUGCCGUUAGAAGAUGCAUUUGCAGACUCGGGCUCUCUGCUGCAUUGAGAUGCUUCCUGACCACAGCAGGAUUGGCUCCAGCCCCUGCAGUUGUCCUUCACUUCUAGGGUCCUGGCAAGCCCUGUUCCCAAACAAGUGCCAAAACUGCCCCUGGUCCCCUUUUUGCAACAGGAUUAAGCAUGCAAGAGAUGCAUGCAGGAGGCAGUCGCAUUGUGCUCAGAGUCAGAGGCAAACAGCAAAUGUCAGAAUUCCCUUGUUUUGAGCAAGCAGUGCAUCUGCAGUGGAUGAGAAGUUACCCAGUACUACAUGGGUGGGCUGGAGCAUCUCCCCAGGGCCGUCGCCUCCCCUCUUUGCCUUCCGACCCUGGUGUUCUUAUCCGGAGCAACAGCACGCGCAUUUAUCACACGACUUUAUGAACAGUGAAGGUUUAUUACAUUGCACUUAAA
This is a long non-coding RNA of Gallus gallus (chicken), 1882 nucleotides long. The record is from Ensembl. Lineage: Eukaryota; Metazoa; Chordata; Aves; Galliformes; Phasianidae.